UAGGUGGCAAGCGUUAUCCGGAUUUACUGGGUGUAAAGGGCGUGUAGGCGGGGAAGCAAGUCAGAUGUGAAAUUCCAGGGCUCAACCCUGGAACUGCAUUUGAAACUGUUUUUCUUGAGUGUUGGAGAGGCAGGCGGAAGUCCGUGUGUAGCGGUGAAAUGCGUAGAUAUACGGAGGAACACCAGUGGCGAAGGCGGCCUGGUGGACAAUAACUGACGCUGAGGCGCGAAAGCGUGGGGAGCAAA
RNAcentral lists this ribosomal RNA (245 nucleotides) under uncultured bacterium. Its description in RNAcentral is "partial 16S ribosomal RNA". It matches the Rfam family "Bacterial small subunit ribosomal RNA", at positions 528 to 772 of the family's 1533-position model. The record is from RNAcentral.